RNAcentral lists this ribosomal RNA (272 nucleotides) under Bacillus sp. TK2.6. Its description in RNAcentral is "partial 16S ribosomal RNA". It matches the Rfam family "Bacterial small subunit ribosomal RNA", at positions 95 to 357 of the family's 1533-position model. Lineage: Bacteria; Bacillati; Bacillota; Bacilli; Caryophanales; Bacillaceae. The record is from RNAcentral.
GCGGCGGACGGGUGAGUAACACGUGGGUAACCUGCCUGUAAGACUGGGAUAACUCCGGGAAACCGGAGCUAAUACCGGAUAGUUCCUUGAACCGCAUGGUUCAAGGAUGAAAGACGGUUUCGGCUGUCACUUACAGAUGGACCCGCGGCGCAUUAGCUAGUUGGUGAGGUAACGGCUCACCAAGGCGACGAUGCGUAGCCGACCUGAGAGGGUGAUCGGCCACACUGGGACUGAGACACGGCCCAGACUCCUACGGGAGGCAGCAGUGGUCA